This 393-nucleotide long non-coding RNA is filed under the name Homo sapiens (human). Its description in RNAcentral is "non-protein coding lnc-MECR-1:5". Lineage: Eukaryota; Metazoa; Chordata; Mammalia; Primates; Hominidae. The record is from RNAcentral.
UUAUGAACUGAAUGGCAAAGACCUUUGUGGUGAGCGAGUAAUUGUUGAGCAUGCCCGCGGCCCACGGCGAGAUGGCAGUUACGGUUCUGGACGCAAAUCCUUUGAGGCUAAGAUGACUGCCUGUUCCAUUUGCUGACCUUGGGUUACCUUUCCAUGCGUGGCUCUUUGAACCAUUGUGGCCCUUGGCUGACCAAAAACAGGAAGCCAUGUGACGACCGCAACCUUUCCCCAUUAGACCUGGGUGGUGAGGAUCCCAAGGGUUAGACACAGAUGAGAUUAAACUGAAAUAGGUGGAUAUGGUUAUAGAAGAAGUGGCCGAGAUAAAUAUGGCCCUCCUACUCGCACAGAGUACAGACUUAUUGUGGAGAAUUUGUCAAGUCGGUGCAGCUGGCA